CCCUUAGAUGUUCGGGGCCGCACGCGCGCUACACUGAAGGAAUCAGCACGUCUUUCUCCUUGUCCGAAAGGACUGGGUAACCCGCUGAACCUCCUUCGUGCUAGGGAUUGGGGCUUGUAAUUCUUCCCCAUGAACGAGGAGUUCCCAGUAAGCGCGAGUCAUAAGCUCGCGUUGAUUACGUCCCUGCCCUUUGUACACACCGCCCGUCGCUACUACCGAUUGGAUGGUUUAGUGAGAUCCUCGGAUUGGUCCCGGCGCGGCCUCUGGUCGUGCCGGAGUGCCGAAAAGAAUGUCGAACUUGAUCAUCUAGAGGAAGUAAAAGUCGUAACA
RNAcentral lists this ribosomal RNA (330 nucleotides) under uncultured eukaryote. RNAcentral describes it as "partial 18S ribosomal RNA". It matches the Rfam family "Eukaryotic small subunit ribosomal RNA", at positions 1470 to 1796 of the family's 1831-position model. The record is from RNAcentral.